RNAcentral lists this unclassified non-coding RNA (306 nucleotides) under uncultured fungus. Its description in RNAcentral is "partial contains small subunit ribosomal RNA, internal transcribed spacer 1, and 5.8S ribosomal RNA". The stretch from base 1 to 73 matches the Rfam family "Eukaryotic small subunit ribosomal RNA", at positions 1759 to 1831 of the family's 1831-position model. The record is from RNAcentral. Lineage: Eukaryota; Fungi.
GCAAACUUGGUCAUUUAGAGGAAGUAAAAGUCGUAACAAGGUUUCCGUAGGUGAACCUGCGGAAGGAUCAUUAUAGAACAAGUGUUAUAUACACUUUUAUUAUUAUUAUCCCUUUCCCCUAUGUGCACUUUACAUGUGUGUAGAGGCUAGUAGCUAACUGGCUAACUAGCUAAUGCACACACACACACAUAUAUCCAAUACUAUGGUGGCAUUGAAAGGAACUUGUUACAAUUGGUUGUAAUACGAGAUAAAUAUAUAACUUUCAGCAACGGAUCUCUUGGCUCUUGCAUCGAUGAAGAACGCAGC